UCUUCCUUGGUCUAGUGGUCAUGAUUUCCGCUUGUCAGUAUCCCACUAACGAGCGCGGGAGACCGGGGUUCGAUUCCCCGAGGGAGAG
Molecule: transfer RNA, 88 nt
Filed under: Lentithecium fluviatile CBS 122367
Lineage: Eukaryota; Fungi; Ascomycota; Dothideomycetes; Pleosporales; Lentitheciaceae
Description: tRNA-Asp
Rfam family: tRNA
About the family: Transfer RNA (tRNA) molecules are approximately 80 nucleotides in length. Their secondary structure includes four short double-helical elements and three loops (D, anti-codon, and T loops). Further hydrogen bonds mediate the characteristic L-shaped molecular structure. tRNAs have two regions of fundamental functional importance: the anti-codon, which is responsible for specific mRNA codon recognition, and the 3' end, to which the tRNAs corresponding amino acid is attached (by aminoacyl-tRNA synthetases). tRNAs cope with the degeneracy of the genetic code in two manners: having more than one tRNA (with a specific anti-codon) for a particular amino acid; and 'wobble' base-pairing, i.e. permitting non-standard base-pairing at the 3rd anti-codon position.
Source: RNAcentral